RNAcentral lists this ribosomal RNA (552 nucleotides) under Triticum aestivum (bread wheat). RNAcentral describes it as "partial small subunit ribosomal RNA". The record is from RNAcentral. Lineage: Eukaryota; Viridiplantae; Streptophyta; Magnoliopsida; Poales; Poaceae.
AUGGCGGCGACUCCUCCCGCCGCCGCCGCCGCCGCGGGCGGGGCGCACCACAGCGUGUUCGUCUACGGGAGCCUGAUGGCGGAGGAGGUGGUCACCGCCAUCCUCAAGCGCGUCCCGGCCUCCUCCCCGGCGCUCCUCACCAACUACCACAGGUUUAACGUCAAGGAUCGUAUUUAUCCAGCAAUCCUACCUGUUGAAAACAAGAAAGUUGCUGGGAAGGUUAUGAUGGGCAUUUCUGAUGCAGAACUCAUUGUCUUGGAUGCAUUUGAGGAUUUUGAGUAUGUAAGGAGAAGAGUUCAGAUAUCACUAACCGAUACAUCAGAGAUAAUGCAUGCUGACACUUAUGUAUGGAGUGAUGCAGAGGAUCCAGAUCUGUAUGGUGAAUGGGAUUUUGAGGAGUGGAAGAGGGUUCACAUGAAGGAUUUCCUAACGAUGACACUUGGAUUCAUGGACGGACUCGAACGGCCCGAACCGAAGACCCGGGUCGAGACCUACCAGUCUUUCAUGCACGAGCACGAACAACCUGAAUCAGGAACCCAGGUCGAGAGUUGA